Molecule: non-coding RNA, 43 nt
Filed under: Schistosoma haematobium
Lineage: Eukaryota; Metazoa; Platyhelminthes; Trematoda; Strigeidida; Schistosomatidae
Source: RNAcentral
ACCAGCUGAUGAGUCCCGAAUAGGACGAAACGCGCGUCUGGAU